CUCGGGAGGCUGCAGUGGGGAAUAUUGGACAAUGGGCGAAAGCCUGAUCCAGCCAUGCCGCGUGUGUGAAGAAGGCCUUCGGGUUGUAAAGCACUUUCAGUGGGGAAGAAAGCCUUGGGGCUAAUACCCUCGAGGAAGGACAUCACCCACAGAAGAAGCACCGGCUAACUCCGUGCCAGCAGCCGCGGUAAUACGGAGGGUGCGAGCGUUAAUCGGAAUUACUGGGCGUAAAGCGCGCGUAGGCGGUCUGAUAAGCCGGUUGUGAAAGCCCCGGGCUCAACCUGGGAACGGCAUCCGGAACUGUCAGGCUAGAGUGCAGGAGAGGAAGGUAGAAUUCCCGGUGUAGCAGUGAAAUGCGUAGAGAUCGGGAGGAAUACCAGUGGCGAAGGCGGCCUUCUGGACUGACACUGACGCUGAGGUGCGAAAGCGUGGGUAGCAAACAGGAUUAGAUACCCCGGUAGUC
RNAcentral lists this ribosomal RNA (463 nucleotides) under Vreelandella stevensii. RNAcentral's name for it is "partial 16S ribosomal RNA". It matches the Rfam family "Bacterial small subunit ribosomal RNA", at positions 340 to 795 of the family's 1533-position model. The record is from RNAcentral. Lineage: Bacteria; Pseudomonadati; Pseudomonadota; Gammaproteobacteria; Oceanospirillales; Halomonadaceae.